This 448-nucleotide ribosomal RNA is filed under the name uncultured eukaryote. RNAcentral describes it as "SSU rRNA". It matches the Rfam family "Eukaryotic small subunit ribosomal RNA", at positions 356 to 888 of the family's 1831-position model. The record is from RNAcentral.
CGGGUAACGGAGAAUUAGGGUUCGAAUUCCGGAGAAGGAGCCUGAGAAACGGCUACUACAUCUAAGGAAGGCAGCAGGCGCGUAAAUUACCCAAUCCUAAAUCAGGGAGGUAGUGACAAGAUAUAACAACGCGAUUAAAUGUCGCGAUUGUAGUGAGGGUAUUCUAAAAAUAGCUUCGAGUACGAUUGGAGGGCAAGUCUGGUGCCAGCAGCCGCGGUAAUUCCAGCUCCAAUAGCGUAUAUUAAAGUUGCUGCAGUUAAAAAGCUCGUAGUUGAACUUCAUGAGCAGUAGGUAGCUUACUACCUGCUCUCUACCAGUCUUUCGACUGUUACUGUGAGAAAAUUAGAGUGUUUCAAGCAGGCUAUUGCAGGAAUACAUUAGCAUGGAAUAACGAAUGUACCUACAAUUUGGUUAAUUGUAGAUUACUAUUAAUAGGGACAGUUGGGGG